ACUGAUUUGGCAGAUAAGUGCAUUUGAUUUAGAUUCUUUAAAUAUUAGUUUAUGCUUUUAUUCAGUA
Molecule: transfer RNA, 67 nt
Filed under: Gomphiocephalus hodgsoni
Lineage: Eukaryota; Metazoa; Arthropoda; Collembola; Poduromorpha; Hypogastruridae
Description: tRNA-Leu
Source: RNAcentral